Molecule: ribosomal RNA, 527 nt
Filed under: uncultured Alcaligenaceae bacterium
Lineage: Bacteria; Pseudomonadati; Pseudomonadota; Betaproteobacteria; Burkholderiales; Alcaligenaceae
Description: bacterial SSU rRNA
Rfam family: Bacterial small subunit ribosomal RNA
Source: RNAcentral
CCUGGGGAGUACGGUCGCAAGAUUAAAACUCAAAGGAAUUGACGGGGACCCGCACAAGCGGUGGAUGACGUGGAUUAAUUCGAUGCAACGCGAAAAACCUUACCUACCCUUGACAUGGAAGGAAUCCUGAAGAGAUUUAGGAGUGCUCGAAAGAGAACCUUCACACAGGUGCUGCAUGGCUGUCGUCAGCUCGUGUCGUGAGAUGUUGGGUUAAGUCCCGCAACGAGCGCAACCCUAGUCAUUAGUUGCUACAUUCAGUUGAGCACUCUAAUGAGACUGCCGGUGACAAACCGGAGGAAGGUGGGGAUGACGUCAAGUCCUCAUGGCCCUUAUGGGUAGGGCUUCACACGUCAUACAAUGGUACAUACAGAGGGCCGCCAACCCGCGAGGGGGAGCUAAUCCCAGAAAGUGUAUCGUAGUCCGGAUUGUAGUCUGCAACUCGACUACAUGAAGUUGGAAUCGCUAGUAAUCGCGGAUCAGCAUGUCGCGGUGAAUACGUUCCCGGGUCUUGUACUCACCGCCCGUCA